Meira miltonrushii is the source of this 116-nucleotide non-coding RNA. The record is from the annotation of a RefSeq genome assembly. Lineage: Eukaryota; Fungi; Basidiomycota; Exobasidiomycetes; Exobasidiales; Brachybasidiaceae.
GGUUGCAUACCAAAGUUGGUUAAUGGGCCAGAUUCAAGUUCCGCCAACUUUCGCUGAUAGCAGUGAAACCUGUCCUGGUGUCGAAAGACUCAUGGGUUCGAAUCCCAUUGCAACCA